GGCCGACUAGCUCAGUUGGUUACAGCGUGGUGCUAAUAACGCCAAGGUCGUCCGUUCGAUCCCGGCGUUGGCCA
This 74-nucleotide transfer RNA is filed under the name Polyporus arcularius HHB13444. RNAcentral describes it as "tRNA-Ile". Lineage: Eukaryota; Fungi; Basidiomycota; Agaricomycetes; Polyporales; Polyporaceae. The record is from RNAcentral.